Molecule: long non-coding RNA, 590 nt
Filed under: Homo sapiens (human)
Lineage: Eukaryota; Metazoa; Chordata; Mammalia; Primates; Hominidae
Description: non-protein coding lnc-PFKP-34:3
Source: RNAcentral
AUGGAGUGUGGUGACCACAGAAAGAAUUGAUGGAAGCAUGUGAGGAAAUGUGUCAACCGGAAAAGCAGCAGCUCAGCUCCUGGGGCCCAGUGUGGACUUGCCUUCAGGAGGUGAUGAUGUCGCUUUUGACCUGUGGGUCAGAGUAAAAAUUGUGUAAAAUCAGUUCCCAGUGUACAAACUGAUGGAUGUUAAAGGUUAAUUUGUAAAUAACUUUAUAUUUCUAUGGGGAAAAAGCUUCCUAAGUUCCAUGUAGGUUCUUGGGCCACUGUUUAUGAUAGAAUUAUAAUACCAGAUACUCAAAAUGUCAAAUGUCAGACAAAAAUAUUAUGAAUAUACAGAAUAUACAGUAUUUUCUUCUUCUUCUUCUUUUUUUUUUUUUUUGGAUACAGAGUCUUGCUCUGUCAUCCAGGUUGGAGUGCAGUGGCAUGAUCUCAGUUCACUGCAACCUCCACCUCUGCAGAAAGAGGAAAAGACAUCUUUUGAGGAAGCAAGCAAAAAAUAAUUCUGAAUUAGUUUAUACUGGUCCAGAGGUUUGUUUUAGUGCCAGCAAUGGAGAUAUCAGUAAAAACUGAAUCCUAAUUAUAAUAAUA